GCUGGCGAUGGGGGAAUGGCAGCAGGAAGGGGCUGGGGGUGGCCGCCCCAGCUCGGCACCCCUUGGAGAGCAGGCAAGGAGGAAGGAACACUUUGACAAGCACGGAACACAGACCGAGACGAGGGAAACGGUGCCUGGGCAGGGAGGUGACUUGAACCAAGCUGACGGAGGGAGCUGGCCGUGAUCACAGUGUGGACCAGCCUAACUCCUGUGCUGGCAUGGUUUUGGGUGGAUCACAGUGCCACGCUGUCUAGAUCCCCCUUUCCAGGCACUGCUCAUCUGUCAGUCUGUGAACUCUGUCACCCAGAGGUUCCUUCUCUUACUGGGAAGUCCAUUGGAGGGACCAUGGACCUCGGCUCACUACUGAUGGGUACUGUUCCCAGAAGCACCGUGUCCUCUCCAGUCAGUGCGGCAUGACUGGGGGAAGGGCAGACCAUAGGUGCCCAGGCUCCUGGAAGCACGAGGCCUGCCCCUUGACUGAGCGACCUCCCUUGUUCUCCAAAGACCACAGGAGCCGUACUCACACUUCGUAUCUGUUACUGGACAGGAAUCUUUCUGAGUAUCAUGACUUACACUCAGAAAGAUUCUAUAGCCAGUUACUAGAGCCAGUCAGUCAGAAGAAUCUUUCUGAGUGUAAGUGGCUUAUGCAUUUGUUGAGAAGCCCAGGGAUUUCAGCUUCAGGAAUGGCUGAAUCCAGCGGCUCAAAUGAUAUCAUCAGAACUCAAUCUCACUUUCUUCAUUUCUCAUUUCUGUCUUCCUCUGAGAAGGCUCUAAUGUCUGGAUGGGCUCUGAUUGAUUUGAUUGGGAUCACAUGCCCAUUUCCAAAUAAACCACAAUAGCCAGGGGGCUAAGAAACACGGAUUGAUAACCCCUGGUCUGGGGAACAUCCUUUGCAUCUCUGGAACCUCAUGGACUGAGAGAGGCUUGCACUGGGAGGGGCGCCAAUGCACAAGAAACAGUGCACAGUGAUGCCCCGUCUAUUAGCAGGGGCACACGUGCCAGGGUCUUCCACGCUGGAGAAGUUGGAGAGCAUUCUGCAUCCAGGGCAGAGAUGGGCAUGGUUGCCCGAAGAGGCUGGUUAGGCAGAACUGAGGUCUGGCCAGGUGCGAUAUUGUGAUUUUUAAUAAGAAAUAUAUAUUCGGUCUUUGUCCCAUUCCUGGUCCAGAGCCCCUAAAGCCCUUGGAAUUUCCUGUGGAGAGAGCAUAAAGGUGUCUUUUGUUAUGUUAAUAAGGUGGUUUUGGGAAAUUACCUAAGGAUGGAGGCUGGUUGUCAGAGGAGCCAACCACACAAACAGAGGUGAAAACUUUCAGUCCCACCUCCAAGGAGGGGAAAGGGGCUGGAGGUUGAACCCACCACCAAUAGCUAAUGAUUUCACCAGUCAUGCUGGUGCAAUGAACCCUCCAGAAAACCCCAAAAGGAUGGGGUUCCAGGAGCUUCCGGGUUGGUGAACACGUGCAGAUUUGGGGAGAGUGGUGCUCGGAAACGUGGAGGAGCUCCACGCCCUUCCCCCACACCUCGCCCUGGGCAUCUCUUCCAUCUGGCUGUUCCUGUUAUAUCUUUUUAUAAUAAACCUGUAAUCUAGU
Long non-coding RNA from Aethalodelphis obliquidens (Pacific white-sided dolphin), 1583 nucleotides. RefSeq lists it as uncharacterized. NCBI's taxonomy places the organism in Eukaryota, Metazoa, Chordata, Mammalia, Artiodactyla, Delphinidae. The transcript has 2 exons. The record is from RefSeq and is a predicted model, not a curated record.